Molecule: non-coding RNA, 3071 nt
Organism: Sus scrofa (pig)
Lineage: Eukaryota; Metazoa; Chordata; Mammalia; Artiodactyla; Suidae
Source: the annotation of a RefSeq genome assembly
CCCAAAUGAAAUUGGACGAAACAAAAGCAUCAUUGAAAAUAAGUCACUUUUCUGUCUCUCCACAGGAGGGUAGUAUUUCAAAAGGCAAAAUCCUUCCCAAAAUCAAAGCAGAGUUUGAGAUUGGAGGGAGGGGAAGGGAGGGUAGAGGGUGAAUGAUUCAACUAGCUGCCACACAGGGGCAGCCUUUUCACUGUGAUUAAAGUGGGCGGCAAGUGUUACUCUAGCCCCAAAAAGCCUCUUUCAGGAGGGAAUCUUUCAAGGGCAACUAAAGCGAGUGACUGUGGUCACCAUAUGAUAAGAAGAAAAGAUGCUUCUAAAAUUCUCGGCGUGGGUCCUUUGGAUUCAACUGGCAUGGGAGAGCACCCAGCAGCUGGAGCAGCAUCCUCCAUUUCUAAGCAUCCAGGAGGGGGAGAAUUCCACCAUGUACUGCAACUCCUCAAGCAUCUUCACCAACUUUCAAUGGUAUAGGCAGAAGCCUGGGGAAGGGCCUGUCUUCCUGAUGAUGUUAACUAAGGCUGGAGAUAGGAAGGAGCAGGAGAGACUGAAGGGUCAAUUUGGUGAGGAAAGAAAGGACAGCUUUCUGCUCAUCACUGCAGCCCAGCCUGGGGAUGCAGGCACCUACCUCUGCGCAGGGGCACAGUGCCCUUGGCACACCUGCUGCCUGCACCCAAACCCUGCUGCAGGUCCCCAGUCACACAACUGCUUCAUUGCUCCAGGUUCACCUCACAAAUCUCUUGGCAUGCAGAAGAAUCACUUCUGCUGCCUUUCCAGAACAUUCUCAGCCUACACUGGAGGGCAGGAUUUAUCUGCUAUAAGGCAAACUUCUGUAAAUGUAUUUCACUAUUUGAACUAGUGAAAAUAUGGGUUCACAGCUCCCCCAAGAUAGGCAGUGGAGAAAGAAGAGAAUCAAUACGGAGGAUCCCAGAGUGCAUCCCAAAGGCCACAGCCAGGAAUGGUUAGUACAAGGGGAUAGAAAUGAAUGAUUUCACAGCUUUAUUGUAGUACCCUUGGGUUGAUGAAAGUGCAGUACCUCCAGUCUAUUAAACUGGAGUAAAGGGCAGAAGUCUAGUAGAAAAUAAUUUGAAGAAAGUUCCUACUGUUUUUGAUAGAAAGAUGCCCAAGGUGUAUUCCAGUGACAUCCAGCUGUGAUUCCAAAGCAACAUCAUCAGGCAUUCACAUCGUGGCUCAGCAGUUAACAAACCCGACGAGAACCCAUGAGGGCUCUGGUUCGAUCCCUGGCCUUGCUCAGUGGGUUAGGGGUCCGGCAUUGCUGUGAGCCGUGGUGUAGGUUGCAGACACAGCUCAGAUCCCACAUUGCUCUCACAUGGACCUCUGGCAUGUGAACCUCCAUAGGCCGCAAGUGCGGCCCUAAAAAGAAAAACCACACACACAUACACACACACACACACACACAAAAGCAACAUUGCCAGGAGGUGGUUCUGAAACCACUUAAACUUUCAUUAACUACAACAGCCUGUAUUUGCACAGGGUUUUCUUGGGGAUUAGACUUUGAAUGACACAAAUAGCCUCAAGUUUUCAAGGCUGAAAAAGCUAGAAGUUAACCAUUUCCUCCACCUGACAAGCCCUCCAUUAGCCCAUUUUUCUAUUUGAAGCAUUCCUGUUUGUUCUCUAAAGCAAGAUGUUAGAACACAACACAUGCAUUUUGACGUCAUAAGAACCCAGGUUUGAACUUGGUCUUUAAAUCCUGUCUUUGCAAUUUUCUAGCUCUGGAUCCUCGGGCAAUUAUUCAUCUUCAUCUAAGCUUCCUGAUAAAUACAAAUUAGUAAGAAUACCUGCCUUGCUGAGUUGCUACAAAUUAAAUGAGAGGGAAAUUUUUAAAUUAUAUGAAAUCUCAGGUACAACCUAUAUACUUAACAAACACCCCUGUAAAUAAUAUUAUUACUGCCUCUAAAUACAUGUUAUCCCUCCUGUGAAAUUUUCACUGACUCCUCAAGGAGGAAUGAGCUAAUCUCUGCCAAGUAUUCGGAAUACUCACCUUAGUAGUCAGGGAGACAGACCCUGUGAGUUGCCUGCCUAAUCACUACUUUCUUCUGCUUCCUUUUUAACAGGACUCUCAAUUUUGAUUUGGACAACUACAUCCCCAGCUUUAGAAAAAUAAUUACAUUUCACAUCCUUUCUUAUAAUCAGGGGUUAUAUAUUGCACAGUUCUGACCAAUGAGACAUCAUCAGAAGCCUGCUAGAGAUUCCCUGUAAUGUGUUUGCUCUCCUGGUACAGGUACCACAUCUUCCUGUCCCUCUUUCAAUGUUUUUCUUCCUGAAACAUGGAAGCGAUAACUUUACCAUAAAGGGAACCAUAGGCAUAACCUCCCUCGCCAGUCCCAUGCCUGAUCACCCUUUAAAUGCCAAGUCAAAUCCUUUGCCCAGAUUUAUUUUUACGUGAAAAAUUUUAACAAAUUAUUCUGUGGUUGAGUUUUUUGUUACUUGCACCUAAAUGCAAUCCUAACUAUAGUAGGAUUGAUAUAAAAGGGCUUUGUCAUUUUGUUUCCAUGUGUAGGUGCAAAAAGAAAGUACAAAAUGAAUAAGUACUGUGUUUUUACAGAGGGGACCUGCAUUUAUAUUGAUCAUGUGUAUCUUCUUAAAGUAUUGAUGUUCCUAUAAUUUUUUAUUAAGAAAAAAUUAUCUUUCGCUUAGGGAACUCAUGUUAAAAUUUCUAUCAAUCCCUUACACUCAUGGGAGAAAAUUCAGUUUUUCAUCAUAAGUCAUAGAUGAUAUCAAUCUCCACACAAAUGGUUAAUACCUGUAGUCUUACUUUUUCUCAUUCUUAAAGUCCAAAGGUUAUUUUUCUUGUUUUAUAACUUCAUGUUACCCCAGUAACCUACUGAAAAGGCCUUUGUUUUGAAAGUGGUAAGGGCAAAUAUAAAUUAAAAAUUAGAAAAAUACAUUUUAAUUUUAGUUGUUAUAAAAUAAGAAAAAAUAAAAUGAGAAAGAUCUUUCUCCCUCCUGUUUUGAGUAUUUACUUUAGAAAACUUAUGAGUUAUUUCUCCAUCUCAUUGAGAUGUAUGUAAAUCUUUUAAGAAGCUAAAGCCUCUUGCCAGUUUCACAAUCCAGGA